Molecule: long non-coding RNA, 594 nt
Filed under: Nicotiana tabacum (common tobacco)
Lineage: Eukaryota; Viridiplantae; Streptophyta; Magnoliopsida; Solanales; Solanaceae
Description: long non-coding RNA (NTAB_LNC008990)
Source: RNAcentral
GGUUAGGAAUAAAGCUGCUGCAAAUCGUGACAAGUAAGUAUGAUUUAAGGUCUGACUUUACUUUUGAUUACUCAAGAGUUCCUAGAAACUUUAGUUGCAUAAUUGUACGCUGAUGAUAUUAGAUGUCACCUUUUAGGUAUGUUGGAGUAUCAUCUUCUGGAGUGUCAUAUAAGUCAAGCUCUGCCUCUUUCAGUAGCAGCAGCGGCAGCUUUCGGAGUAGCGAGCGAUAUGGAGGUUUUGGAAAUAAAAGCGAUGGUGAUUCAUUUAAGGAUAGUUACAGUGAAAAGGAUCGAUAUGAUGAAGAUAAGAUUGAUCAAAGUACUUAUAAGUCAAAGAAGGGAUCUUCUAGUUAUGGCAGGGCAGGCACCCUGCUUGUUUAUGUAUUUAUUUAUUUAUUUAUUUGUCUUAGAGAAGUAUAGCUAACUACCUUUUAUUCUGCACUGCCUUUGCCCCAUUUAGCUGUUUAAUCUUGGGGUUUUUGCAUGAAAAAGACUCAUCUUUGGGGUUUUGGCCUAGGGUUGUUCAUGUUUUCACAUAGCUGCUGAACCUGUUAUCUGGUGAUGCAUAACCAUUCAAGUGCAUACUCUUUCAAAG